GUGAGUGUCUGUGUGUGGGUGUAUUGCAUAUGUCCAUGUCCCUGGAGUACAGAAGAGGGGUGUGUGUGUGUGUGUGUGUGUGUGUGUGUGUGUGUGUGUGUGUAGCUACAGUUGCGGCUGCCUCAUGUUGGGAAUGGAACCUGGAUCCUCUGCAAGAGCAACAAAUGCUUUUAACCACUGAGUCAUUUUUUUUCCCAGCCCCAUCCUGGAAUGAGAUGAUGUCAUCUCUGGUUUAUCCAGAUAUUUCAAUGAAUGGGCUAAAGGAAAAAGUCUAAUUCCUUGCUAAGAUAGAAUUAUCCCAGUCUCUUUCUGGGUACAUCUCAAAAGGAGACCAAAAUGCCAGGGGCCAGAGACCUCACAAUGUACAGAACAGCCACUGCAGCAAAGAACGACGGGACGUGGAGUGCUCCUGGCAUAGAGCAGAGAUGCUGCACUCUCUCUGCCUAGAGAUGCAGGUGUGCGCACACAGGAGCCCACAAGCACUUCCGCUCUGCCGAUGGUGGGGGCACAGGCUUCCACAUCUCAUCCUUUCCAUGUGCCUGCCCAUGGAGACGGCUUUGCGUCGCGCGCAUGAGCGGAGCAUCUCCAGCCUCCAGACGCCGUUCUCUGGGCUUGGAUCACUGACUGGCUCAUUCUUCGGCUGAUGGACACUCAGGUCGUUUCUAGCUUCUGCACACAAGGUCCCAGGACAAUGCUUGUCCACAGCUUGGAGAACCCAUGGCGGACAGCUGGUGUGUCUGUCUGCUAACUCCUUCUAGUAGACUAGCUAGGUCAAAGUGGACAAGAGUUCAGGAUGCUCGCAGGUGUUGCCAAAGGCCUUCUGAAGAUACUCAUCGCGCACUCCCAUCUCCCACCAGCCUGUCAACAGGAUGCUUCUGUUCUAUUUGAAAACAAGGCUCCUGCCUCCUGGUUCCUGUCUUGCUUGAGUUCCUGUCCUGACUUCUUUUGAUGAUGAGCAGUGAUACAGAAGUGUAAGUCAAAUAAGUUCUUUCCUCUCUAAGUUGCUUUGGUCAUGGUGUUUCAAUUAAAG
Molecule: long non-coding RNA, 1030 nt
Filed under: Cricetulus griseus (Chinese hamster)
Lineage: Eukaryota; Metazoa; Chordata; Mammalia; Rodentia; Cricetidae
Description: lncRNA (ENSCGRG00015017488.2)
Source: RNAcentral